This 576-nucleotide ribosomal RNA is filed under the name uncultured eukaryote. RNAcentral's name for it is "SSU rRNA". It matches the Rfam family "Eukaryotic small subunit ribosomal RNA", at positions 174 to 758 of the family's 1831-position model. The record is from RNAcentral.
UAGAAACCCCGACUUCGGAAGGGGUGUAUUUAUUAGAUACAAAACCAAUGCCCUUCGGGGCUCUUUGGUGAUUCAUGAUAACUAUACGAAUCGCACGGCCUUGCGCCGGCGAUGGUUCAUUCAAAUUUCUUCCCUAUCAACUUUCGAUGUUUGGGUAUUGGCCAAACAUGGUUGCAACGGGUAACGGAGGGUUAGGGCUCGACCCCGGAGAAGGAGCCUGAGAAACGGCUACUACAUCCAAGGAAGGCAGCAGGCGCGCAAAUUACCCAAUCCCGACUCGGGGAGGUAGUGACAAUAAAUACUGAUACAGGGCCCUUUCGGGCCUUGUAAUUGGAAUGAGUACAAUUUAAAUCCCUUAACGAGGAGCAAUUGGAGGGCAAGUCUGGUGCCAGCAGCCGCGGUAAUUCCAGCUCCAAUAGCGUAUAUUAAAGUUGUUGUGGUUAAAAAGCUCGUAGUUGAACCUUGGGCCUGGCUGGCCGGUCCGCCUCACCGCGUGCACUGGUCCGGCCGGGCCUUUCCCUCUGUGGAACCCCAUACCCUUCACUGGGCGUGGCGGGGAAACAGGACAUUUACUUU